RNAcentral lists this long non-coding RNA (699 nucleotides) under Physcomitrium patens. RNAcentral's name for it is "long non-coding RNA (PPAT_LNC013390)". Lineage: Eukaryota; Viridiplantae; Streptophyta; Bryopsida; Funariales; Funariaceae. The record is from RNAcentral.
AUCUAAUGCUUUCUUAAAUUUAUAAAAUUUUACAGGGAUUUUAUUAAGAAUUAUUCUAAGAUUGUUGCUCCACUUAUAUUGUCGUAAUAUGUGAAGUCUUGCUUAAGAAUGCUCCAGAUACUUGGUUGUAGAAGAUAAAAUAGAAAUUGCAACAACAAAAUCCUAGCUCUAAUAGAAUACUAACUAAAAUUUAAUUAGAUAAUAACAAUGCUAAGCAAGCUUUAAUCAAAUUCAAAGAAACUUCAAAGGACUUACAAAGAAACAAUAAGAAAUCUUAAAGAAAUAUUAGAAUGAACACAAAUAUAUCUAAAAUAUAUUCCAAUUCAAUCUUAAUUUAAUCCUAGUUUAAAUACUAUUGGACUUCAUUCAAACUUUAGGCUAAAAACUAACUAAAUUUUAAAUCCUAAACAAAUCCUAAUAAAAUCCUAAAUCCUAAGCUAAAUCCUAAUCAAAUUCUAAAUCCUAAACUAAACCCUAAUCAAAUCCUAAAUCCUAAUUCUAAAUCAAAUCCUAACCAAAUCCUAAAUCCUAAAUCAAAUCCUAAUCAACUCUUCAAUCUUAAACUAAAUCCUAAUCAAAUCCUAAAUCCUAAAUGAAAUUCUAAUCUUAAAUCAAACCCUAAUAAUUCCUACAACAAAUUUAAACCUCAAUUACUAAUAAAUGAACUAUUGAUCUUAACUCUAAAUUUGCACACUUCUU